GUGGGGAAUCUUGCGCAAUGGGCGAAAGCCUGACGCAGCCAUGCCGCGUGAAUGAUGAAGGCCUUAGGGUUGUAAAGUUCUUUUGCCCGUGACGAUGAUGACGGUAACGGGAGAAUAAGCUCCGGCUAACUUCGUGCCAGCAGCCGCGGUAAUACGAAGGGGGCUAGCGUUGUUCGGAAUUACUGGGCGUAAAGCGCGCGCAGGCGGCUUGGUAAGUUGGGGGUGAAAUCCCUGGGCUCAACCCAGGAAUGGCCUUCAAGACUGCUUGGCUGGAGGACGAGAGAGGUGAGUGGAAUUCCCAGUGUAGAGGUGAAAUUCGUAGAUAUUGGGAAGAACACCGGUGGCGAAGGCGGCUCACUGGCUCGUUUCUGACGCUGAGGCGCGAAAGCGUGGGGAGCAAACAGGAUUAGAAACCCUAGUAGUCC
RNAcentral lists this ribosomal RNA (425 nucleotides) under uncultured bacterium. RNAcentral's name for it is "bacterial SSU rRNA". It matches the Rfam family "Bacterial small subunit ribosomal RNA", at positions 354 to 796 of the family's 1533-position model. The record is from RNAcentral.